AAAAACACUACUUUAGACCAGUUAAUGUUACAUGUAUCCAGCCAUUACAUUUAAUUGCAUAUCUUUUGUCCAAGCCAUAUAAUUGACAAGAAAUUCUUUUCACAUGGAUUUCACCCAAGGCUUAAUUUAUUUUCUGCCUUGAUUAUACUGACCUUGCAGAAUAUCCAAAAUAUCAAAAUUAGAGGUCAGCGAUCUACUCUGGUUGAGACCACAAAUUUACUAUAAAAAUUUUGAAGCAAUGAGGAACUAAAGGAAUAUAUGUUUUUUCAUACUAUUAAAUGAUGAAACGUAUCUUUGUCUGGAGCUGUCAUUUUUGCUGCUUCUUAGUUUCCUUUUUAGCCUUUUUCCCCAUUCUACAAUGGUCUUUGUCUGCUUUCUUCCCCACAAACUCUGGACUGUUUUACACUUGACACUGUGGAUACGUGGCUCUUCAUUCAGCAGAGCAACGAAGGCAAAUGUUGGAGACCAGUUGAUUUUCUACCAGAAAUGAGCUGUAGCUUGGAAAAGCUAAAAGGAAAUAUGUUUUUUGCUCACUCCAUUUCAGAAAGCUGAGAGAAUGAAAUGGGCACAUGUCAGCCCAAAGACAGAAAGCAGAGAAGAAGUCACUGCAUGUGCAGAAGCAUGUCUAGAAGACAGCUGCUACAGAAAAGAGGGCAUUACAAAAAAGCAGGAAAAAACCCUUCAAAGUAAAUGAAAAGAAACAGACAGUUCUUCAAAACAAGAGAGGGAAUUAGAAAAAGAACAUUUGGAGAGGAAAAAGCAUUUGGAAUUUUUCUAAGAAGAAGGUACAAACUCAACUCUCAGAAGUAAGAAUCAGAUGAGGGAAGGUGAAGAUUAUUACAGGCACAAAGAACAGAAGUGCAAAGAGUUGGAGAAAGAUCAUUAAUCGUUCUGGGAAUCAGAAGCGUCCUGUGAUACGCAAAAUGAGGAGGUCCAAUGGGAAGAUAUAGAAGAGUUUUCAAAAGCUGAGUAAGAUUAGAGGAUUUGCAUUUUGAAUUACAAACAACAGCCUGUAAAGCACUUAUUGGAGACAGGGCAGGGGUAGAAACAGGGAGCGUAGGAGACUGUUGUAAUAAUGAGGUAUAGAGGAUAGGUAGCGACCACGAAGAGGAACAGAUGAUCUGAGAUACACUUUGGUGGUAGUACCAACAGUGUUAAUAGAUUGAAUGUGAAAAUUGAGGGUGAAGGGAGAACCAAGAAUGAUUCAAGGAUUUUAUCUGGAGUAACUGGGUGAGUAUCAUAUAAAAGGGGAAGACAGGCGGAAUGAUUUAGGAUGGACACGGAGAUGGUGGAAUCGAGAGUUCUGCUUUUGCUAUGCUAGACAUAAACUCGUCACAGGAGAGUCGGAUGGAUGAAGAGUCUCAUUUGUUUAAAAGGUCUCUCUCCAGUUGGAGUAAAACAAGAUGUUUAUGUUCCUGGUCCCAGAAUUCUGACCAAUCUUCUCAACAGAACUUUUGAUGAACUAAUGAAACGGUCUGAUAGUAAUACUACUAAACAAUAGUUAGGCUUCUGUGCACAGUUGGCAGUUACCCACAGGAAGAUAAAUUACUGGCUUGUAAGCAGAAAGAGUUCCCAAUAUGUGUACACCAUGUCAAAAGCGUCCUGUUAGUCUUUCUAUGAAUCAGGUUCCUUUCAGUUUGGGAUUAGAAAAAAUGGAUUUGUAUUUGGAGUUUUAUUACAAGUAUAGAUUUACAAUUGAAUUUAAAUGGUGGAAAUGGAAAAAACAAAGUUUUCUAAAAUAUAUUAGCUUAUAGGAAAGAGUGCCAGAAAGAAGAAAUAAAGACAAGUCAGCAACUUCCUUAGAGUUCCAGAGAAUAACCUUUGAAUUCAUACUAAUUAGCUUCAAAGAUCCUGGAAAAUUUGACCCCAGUGACUGCCCUGUUGAACUUUGCUAAGCACGAAUAGCUAUUUUCUUCUCUGGUUGGCUAGUAAGAACAUGACAAGCUAUUUGAAGAAUUUCUCAUUUACUAAGAAAUUUCCUUAUGGUACACAUGACAGCGCUGACUCAAUACCUUCAACAAACUCCCAGUUGUAUUUUUAUCAACCUUUUAAAAUAUUAUGCUUGCUGUUACCAAAACGAGACACACUAGGUCAUGUCAUUUGUUGCAUUUUAGGGUUAAUGUUCACUUCUGAUAGGACUUCUCUUUAUGAGUUUACUUGCAUUCUGGUAACAUGGAAAGUUUGUCUUAUAAAUCUGUCUCUAGAAUUACCUUUUCUCUCAGACCACAAGUUUAAGCAUAUUCCUCCAGCCUUGAACUUCAGGGGAAAUGAGCACACAGUACCAAUGGUAUAUCUAAUAAUGCCGAAGACAAUAGACAUUGAUUAUUUUAUUUUUUAGUUCAUAUUACUCCAAGAGAAGGAAUUUACCUCAUUCUCUCUAGUUUCUAUUUCCCACAGAGAUUAAAGUAAAGGUUAGUUGUUUUAUUGGAAAAAGACCACUGAAAAAUAUCAUUUACUCUGCUGGCCCACGGAUUUUCUCAGAAUGUUUAGUAGCAGAAACACAUAUCCUUAAGGAUUACAUUUAGUCAUGGUUGAAAAACUUAAAUAUGACAAAUUCUUAAUUUUGAAGACUGAGCGUUGACAGAAGGCCAACUACUUCAACUUCAAAGAUGAUGACAACAGCCAGUAUUAAUUAUUGCUAAAUAGAUUAGACAUAUCCCUUAUCCCAAGUGAGUCAUAGCUGCCUGGUAGGGGCUUUCUCAGGGAUGUUGUUGUGAACCAUCUAUUGGAUUCUUUCUUCUGAUUUGUCCCAGGGAACACAGUUAUAAUGACAAGAUUUUGAUCAGGGCAUCACCUAGCAGCCUCACUAGCUACUAGGUUCUAGUGCCCAUGGGUAAUCCACUUCACAAUUGAGACAGUAUUUUCUACUCUUAUCUGUGGAACAAAUUCACUCCAAAUGUAUAGUGUGGACUCUUUAUGCCUUUGAAAAAACUUACAAACUAAAUAUAAAUAUUUCUCUCUGGGCAAGAUUAGAUUCUGCUGAACUGGUAUCUGUAACUAUCCAGAGUCUGCACAGCUAUUAUCCCUAACGCACCAAGUAGUCAUAACUCAGUCGGCUCUGUGCUUUCUGAACCAAUCCUCAAGACCACUCCAUCAGUUUUUGUGUGUGGCUAGUGUUAGUUCCCAUUGCUUGCUAAAACUGCAUGCUUUUCACUGCAUCUAGGUCCCAAAGCAGUACGUACUGUCUGUUAAAUCUGCAGCGAGAUUUAAAGUAUUGGUUAUCAAUACUCCACAGUUGUUAUUGCUAAGGAAUGAGAUUAUUUUAUUGUCAGGCUGGUUCUCCUCCAGACCUCCACUGGCAAAAUGUGAAGGAGUUGCUAUAGAUUUCAGUGCUCUAGUGGUUUUUUUCUCUCUCUAAUCAACAUAACACUAUAUAACCCAUAACACCUCUAGAACUCUACCUGAUAUUUACAAUGCGAAAGCAGCCUUCUUAUUUUAAAAUAGCACCAGUAGCUCUUUUGAUUUUAUGAUUAACCUAGUCAGGAAACAUCAUAGAGAUCAGGAUAAGCUCUCACCCCUGAAACUUGACCCCUACGGACAUCUUCGUUUUCUGGGUAUUAGUAGUUAAGCACAUUCAGUGGGCUAGGCAGGUAAAUUAUUGAAUCUUCACUAUGUUCUGGGAAUUAAAAAGAUAAAAAAGACAGAUGUCUGGACUUUUGUUGGAGGAAAUUGGCAUGUAAACAAAACAAUUUCAAAUCUGUGUGUUAACUGCUGGGAGAGAGAUAUGUAAGAGGCACAGUGGGUUUCUGUUGUUGCUGUUUUUUGUUAUUUUGUUUUUAACAGAUGGAAUAAUCCAUUUUUGCCUGGGGACAGUGAAAGGACAGAGGAACGUCUCAUUAGAGAAGGUGUUUGACUUGGACCCUGAAGAAUUUUGCCAGGUGGAGAUAGAGAAAGACUCUAGCCAAGGAAAAGUUAAUUUGAAAAGGCAGAGAGUCAGAAGAAAGCAAACCCUUUUUUCCUUCAUGUUAGUAAAACUUCUCUUUCGGUGUGAUUUUAAUCUUUGGGGCAACAAAUGUCAUUUAGAACCCCCUAUUAGGAACACAGGUUGGGUGAUAAAGGGGAAGGAUACUGUUUGUGUGCUAAAAAAAUAAAAAUAAGUAUACUGAGAUUGAAUUUUAUGCCUGGAUCAAAACUUACUCUAAAGAGUACUUUUACGCCAGAAAAAAUAUAGAGUGGAUAUUUCUGAAGUAAGGAUAAAUUUCUGAGGGAGUGAAGGGUCACAACUUCUAUUUAUGCAUAAAUUUUAAAAAAUCAGAAAAGUCAUUUUAGUCCAGAAGAAACAUUCACUCAAAAAUUAUCCGAGAUAUUAUUAUUUUUAUAACUAUAACACGGUAGAUACAUAGUAAAUACCCAUUCGCUGGGAGAAAAUAAGUAGAUCAUAGUCUGGACGCUAUAUUGAUAAGAUAGUGUCAGCCAGCCGGAAGGAAGUGACACUUACUUCUCCAUCAUUAUAAGAAAAGAAGUAAUAUAAAAAGUUCCAUUCUUUUUAAUAUGAACUAGGUUCCUGAAGUUGUUGGUGUGUGGAGAACAAUGUGACUAUAUAAAAAUAAUUUUAUUAUUCAUCCUAAUUUCUACACCAAUAAGGGAAUUGUCAUUGCAUUGCUGUUAUAAUUAUAGCCUUUUUGAAAAGGCAAGGUAUUGAAAAGAACUAUAAUGUGAUGAAUAAAUGCCUGCAAAAAACCCAAAGAC
Equus caballus (horse) is the source of this 4689-nucleotide non-coding RNA. Lineage: Eukaryota; Metazoa; Chordata; Mammalia; Perissodactyla; Equidae. The record is from RefSeq and is a predicted model, not a curated record.